RNAcentral lists this ribosomal RNA (1542 nucleotides) under Escherichia coli. RNAcentral describes it as "16S ribosomal RNA". It matches the Rfam family "Bacterial small subunit ribosomal RNA". RNAcentral also lists the same sequence under 1 other name. Lineage: Bacteria; Pseudomonadati; Pseudomonadota; Gammaproteobacteria; Enterobacterales; Enterobacteriaceae. The record is from RNAcentral.
AAAUUGAAGAGUUUGAUCAUGGCUCAGAUUGAACGCUGGCGGCAGGCCUAACACAUGCAAGUCGAACGGUAACAGGAAGCAGCUUGCUGCUUUGCUGACGAGUGGCGGACGGGUGAGUAAUGUCUGGGAAACUGCCUGAUGGAGGGGGAUAACUACUGGAAACGGUAGCUAAUACCGCAUAACGUCGCAAGACCAAAGAGGGGGACCUUCGGGCCUCUUGCCAUCGGAUGUGCCCAGAUGGGAUUAGCUAGUAGGUGGGGUAACGGCUCACCAAGGCGACGAUCCCUAGCUGGUCUGAGAGGAUGACCAGCCACACUGGAACUGAGACACGGUCCAGACUCCUACGGGAGGCAGCAGUGGGGAAUAUUGCACAAUGGGCGCAAGCCUGAUGCAGCCAUGCCGCGUGUAUGAAGAAGGCCUUCGGGUUGUAAAGUACUUUCAGCGGGGAGGAAGGGAGUAAAGUUAAUACCUUUGCUCAUUGACGUUACCCGCAGAAGAAGCACCGGCUAACUCCGUGCCAGCAGCCGCGGUAAUACGGAGGGUGCAAGCGUUAAUCGGAAUUACUGGGCGUAAAGCGCACGCAGGCGGUUUGUUAAGUCAGAUGUGAAAUCCCCGGGCUCAACCUGGGAACUGCAUCUGAUACUGGCAAGCUUGAGUCUCGUAGAGGGGGGUAGAAUUCCAGGUGUAGCGGUGAAAUGCGUAGAGAUCUGGAGGAAUACCGGUGGCGAAGGCGGCCCCCUGGACGAAGACUGACGCUCAGGUGCGAAAGCGUGGGGAGCAAACAGGAUUAGAUACCCUGGUAGUCCACGCCGUAAACGAUGUCGACUUGGAGGUUGUGCCCUUGAGGCGUGGCUUCCGGAGCUAACGCGUUAAGUCGACCGCCUGGGGAGUACGGCCGCAAGGUUAAAACUCAAAUGAAUUGACGGGGGCCCGCACAAGCGGUGGAGCAUGUGGUUUAAUUCGAUGCAACGCGAAGAACCUUACCUGGUCUUGACAUCCACAGAACUUUCCAGAGAUGGAUUGGUGCCUUCGGGAACUGUGAGACAGGUGCUGCAUGGCUGUCGUCAGCUCGUGUUGUGAAAUGUUGGGUUAAGUCCCGCAACGAGCGCAACCCUUAUCCUUUGUUGCCAGCGGUCCGGCCGGGAACUCAAAGGAGACUGCCAGUGAUAAACUGGAGGAAGGUGGGGAUGACGUCAAGUCAUCAUGGCCCUUACGACCAGGGCUACACACGUGCUACAAUGGCGCAUACAAAGAGAAGCGACCUCGCGAGAGCAAGCGGACCUCAUAAAGUGCGUCGUAGUCCGGAUUGGAGUCUGCAACUCGACUCCAUGAAGUCGGAAUCGCUAGUAAUCGUGGAUCAGAAUGCCACGGUGAAUACGUUCCCGGGCCUUGUACACACCGCCCGUCACACCAUGGGAGUGGGUUGCAAAAGAAGUAGGUAGCUUAACCUUCGGGAGGGCGCUUACCACUUUGUGAUUCAUGACUGGGGUGAAGUCGUAACAAGGUAACCGUAGGGGAACCUGCGGUUGGAUCACCUCCUUA